CUGUCACACAAACAACCUUUUUGUCUUAAUACUUCAUAUUGAAAGUAUUAAGAAAAAAAGGUUGUUUGUGUGACA
Molecule: microRNA precursor, 75 nt
Filed under: Podarcis lilfordi (Lilford's wall lizard)
Lineage: Eukaryota; Metazoa; Chordata; Lepidosauria; Squamata; Lacertidae
Source: RNAcentral